CAGGAGGGGGCAAGCGUUGUUCGGAAUUACUGGGCGUAAAGGGCGCGUAGGCGGCCCUCUAAGUCGAACGUGAAAUCCCUGGGCUCAACCCAGGAACUGCGUCCGAGACUGGGGGGCUAGAAUCCGGGAGAGGGAUGUGGAAUUCCAGGUGUAGCGGUGAAAUGCGUAGAUAUCUGGAGGAACAUCGGUGGCGAAGGCGGCAUCCUGGACCGGUAUUGACGCUGAGGCGCGAAAGCCAGGGGAGCAAACGGGAUUAGAUACCCCGGUAGUCCUGGCCCUAAACGAUGAAUGCUUGGUGUGGCGGGUAUCGAUCCCUGCCGUGCCGAAGCUAACGCAUUAAGCAUUCCGCCUGGGGAGUACGGUCGCAAGGCUG
Molecule: ribosomal RNA, 373 nt
Filed under: uncultured organism
Description: bacterial SSU rRNA
Rfam family: Bacterial small subunit ribosomal RNA
Source: RNAcentral